This 450-nucleotide ribosomal RNA is filed under the name uncultured bacterium. RNAcentral describes it as "partial 16S ribosomal RNA". It matches the Rfam family "Bacterial small subunit ribosomal RNA", at positions 354 to 796 of the family's 1533-position model. The record is from RNAcentral.
GUGGGGAAUAUUGGACAAUGGGCGAAAGCCUGAUCCAGCCAUGCCGCGUGUGUGAAGAAGGUCUUCGGAUUGUAAAGCACUUUAAGUUGGGAGGAAGGGCAGUAAGUUAAUACCUUGCUGUUUUGACGUUACCGACAGAAUAAGCACCGGCUAACUUCGUGCCAGCAGCCGCGGUAAUACGAAGGGUGCAAGCGUUAAUCGGAAUUACUGGGCGUAAAGCGCGCGUAGGUGGUUCAGCAAGUUGAAGGUGAAAUCCCCGGGCUCAACCUGGGAACUGCCUCCAAAACUGCAUGACUAGAGUACGGUAGAGGGUAGUGGAAUUUCCUGUGUAGCGGUGAAAUGCGUAGAUAUAGGAAGGAACACCAGUGGCGAAGGCGACUACCUGGACUGAUACUGACACUGAGGUGCGAAAGCGUGGGGAGCAAACAGGAUUAGAUACCCCUGUAGUCC